This 476-nucleotide ribosomal RNA is filed under the name uncultured bacterium. RNAcentral describes it as "partial 16S ribosomal RNA". It matches the Rfam family "Bacterial small subunit ribosomal RNA", at positions 28 to 523 of the family's 1533-position model. The record is from RNAcentral.
GAUGAACGCUGGCGGCGUGCUUAACACAUGCAAGUCGAGCGAGUGAGUUCUUCGGAACGAUCUAGCGGUGGACGGGUGAGUAACACGUGGGCAACCUGCCUCAUAGAGGGGAAUAGCCUCCCGAAAGGGAGAUUAAUACCGCAUAAAAUUAUCGAGGAGCAUCACAUGAUAAUCAAAGGAGUAAUCCGCUAUGAGAUGGGCCCGCGGCGCAUUAGCUAGUUGGUGAGGUAACGGCUCACCAAGGCGACGAUGCGUAGCCGACCUGAGAGGGUGAUCGGCCACAUUGGGACUGAGACACGGCCCAGACUCCUACGGGAGGCAGCAGUGGGGAAUAUUGCACAAUGGGGGAAACCCUGAUGCAGCAACGCCGCGUGAGUGAUGAAGGUCUUCGGAUUGUAAAGCUCUGUCUUUGGGGACGAUAAUGACGGUACCCAAGGAGGAAGCCACGGCUAACUACGUGCCAGCCGCCGCUGUAA